Molecule: ribosomal RNA, 301 nt
Filed under: uncultured bacterium
Lineage: Bacteria
Description: partial 16S ribosomal RNA
Rfam family: Bacterial small subunit ribosomal RNA
Source: RNAcentral
CAGUCGCCGCGGUAAUACGUAGGUCCCGAGCGUUGUCCGGAUUUAUUGGGCGUAAAGGGAGCGCAGGCGGUCAGGAAGGUCUGGAGUAAAAGGCUAUGGCUCAACCAUAGUGUGCUCUGGAAACUGUCUGACUUGAGUGCAGAAGGGGAGAGUGGAAUUCCAUGUGUAGCGGUGAAAUGCGUAGAUAUAUGGGGGAACACCAGUGGCGAAAGCGGCUCUCUGGUCUGUCACUGACGCUGAGGCUCGAAAGCGUGGGUAGCGAACAGGAUUAGAUACCCCCGUAGUCCCUGUCUCUUAUACA